RNAcentral lists this ribosomal RNA (253 nucleotides) under uncultured bacterium. RNAcentral describes it as "partial 16S ribosomal RNA". It matches the Rfam family "Bacterial small subunit ribosomal RNA", at positions 524 to 776 of the family's 1533-position model. The record is from RNAcentral.
UACGAAGGGGGCCAGCGUUGCUCGGAAUCACUGGGCGUAAAGGGUGCGUAGGCGGGUUUUUAAGUCAGAGGUGAAAUCCUGGAGCUCAACUCCAGAACUGCCUUUGAUACUGAAAGUCUUGAGUAUGGGAGAGGUGAGUGGAACUGCGAGUGUAGAGGUGAAAUUCGUAGAUAUUCGCAAGAACACCAGUGGCGAAGGCGGCUCACUGGCCCAUUACUGACGCUGAGGCACGAAAGCGUGGGGAGCAAACAGG